UCAUGCUAAUUAGAAAAGACAGGCAUGCAAAAAAGUUCAGAGUCACAAUAAAGAGAUUCAAAUUCAGCUCAUUGACUCAGAAUGAGUGUGAUAGUCCAGAAUUCCAAAGUAGAACCCUAACCCAAACACAAAAUCCGAUAAAGAUACAAGAAGGCAAGCCACUGAUAAAGGCUCAAAAGUCUCUUUCAGAGACUUAUGAGAAACAAACAAACAUGAUAGCAGCUUUGAAGCAACAGAGUGAAAGAAUUGUUUUAAGAGCAUAAAGAACAUGAUUAAGAAAUGUUCGGGACUUAAACAAAUUCAGAAUGGAGGAGAGGCAAUACAAACUUAAUAAAAGUAGAUGAAACAUUCUUGGCAAGAACUCGAACAAAAUCCAGUAAAGCAAACAAAAUUAAAGAACUCAGCAGGAGGCACAUACAAUAGAAUAAUACUGGAAAGCAUAUCAAAGAACAUGUAGGAAAAUAUAGCAGAGAUUAGCAUGUGAGCCUAGUCCACAAGCAUAGUAGAAUACAAAGCACAAAAGUAUCAUGUAUAGUAGAAAAAGACGAGUACAAGAAUAACACAUGUGUGGUAAAAAGAAAAUACACGAGCAUAAUAUAGGGAAACACAUAUAAAGAAAAGAGAAGGAAGAAUAAAAAGAUGUUUUGAAAACCUUUCAGAAACCCUAAAUCGACGACAAGUGAUUUUGAAAAGGAAAAUUUAGGGAAAAUACUUUCAAUGUCCAGUAGAACACAAAUACAUCACAUAUCUAAGAAAAUAAACAGAUAAAAAACCUCGAACAACUUAAGGGCUCGGAGGAACCCUAAAAAUGGGAAAGGCUUGGAAAAGUCAGAUCCUGGGGUCGGAUGAGUGAGAAUCAGGCUCCUGAGGCUUGAAUAUGCUGGAGCGCAAAGGCCGGAGAGGCUAUAGAACCAUAGAUAUGAGAAGAUCUGAAAGAGAACCAUCGAGGUCAGGCUUCAAAACCUCGAACAACCAAGGUCUAAUGGCGGAGGGGGGUUUGUAUAGGCCAUCCAUGGCUUGAGAAACCAUGGACUCCGGUGAAAGGCGGUUGAAAAGGGGUGGAAGAAGGCUAGGGUUCCGAAGAGCCUUGAAAGAGUAUUGAGAGAC
RNAcentral lists this long non-coding RNA (1107 nucleotides) under Nicotiana benthamiana. Its description in RNAcentral is "long non-coding RNA (NBEN_LNC022579)". The record is from RNAcentral. Lineage: Eukaryota; Viridiplantae; Streptophyta; Magnoliopsida; Solanales; Solanaceae.